AACGAACGCUGGCGGCAUGCCUAACACAUGCAAGUCGAACGAGACCUUCGGGUCUAGUGGCGCACGGGUGCGUAACGCGUGGGAACCUGCCUUUAGGUUCGGAAUAACUCAUUGAAAUUUGAGCUAAUACCGGAUGAUGUCUUCGGACCAAAGAUUUAUCGCCUUUAGAUGGGCCCGCGUUGGUUUAGCUGGUUGGUGGGGUAAAGGCCUACCAAGGCUACGAUCCAUAGCUGGUCUGAGAGGCUGAUCAGCCACACUGGGACUGAGACACGGCCCAGACUCCUACGGGAAGGAGGAGUGGGGAAUAUUGGACAAUGGGGGAAGGCCUGAUGCAGCAAUGCCGGGUGAGUGAUGAAGGCGUUAGGGAUGUAAAGCUCCUUUACCCGAGAUGAUAAUGACAGUAUCGGGAGAAUAAGCUCCGGCUAACUCCGUG
RNAcentral lists this ribosomal RNA (433 nucleotides) under uncultured bacterium. Its description in RNAcentral is "partial 16S ribosomal RNA". It matches the Rfam family "Bacterial small subunit ribosomal RNA", at positions 29 to 507 of the family's 1533-position model. The record is from RNAcentral.